GAUGAACGCUGGCGGUAUGCUUAACACAUGCAAGUCGAACGGACUCUUCGGAGUUAGUGGCGGACGGGUGAGUAACGCGUGAGAAUCUGGCUUUGGGUUCGGGACAACCACUGGAAACGGUGGCUAAUACCGGAUGUGCCGAGAGGUAAAAGAGAAAUUGCCUGAAGAUGAGCUCGCGUCUGAUUAGCUAGUUGGUGAGGUAAAGGCUCACCAAGGCAGCGAUCAGUAGCUGGUCUGAGAGGAUGACCAGCCACACUGGGACUGAGACACGGCCCAGACUCCUACGGGAGGCAGCAGUGGGGAAUUUUCCGCAAUGGGCGAAAGCCUGACGGAGCAGUACCGCGUGAGGGAAGAAGGCUCUUGGGUUGUAAACCUCUUUUCUUAGGGAAGAACAAAAUGACGGUACCUAAGGAAUCAACAUCGGCUAACUCCGU
Molecule: ribosomal RNA, 434 nt
Filed under: uncultured bacterium
Lineage: Bacteria
Description: partial 16S ribosomal RNA
Rfam family: Bacterial small subunit ribosomal RNA
Source: RNAcentral